This 108-nucleotide small RNA is filed under the name Arabidopsis thaliana (thale cress). RNAcentral's name for it is "ATSL020400". Lineage: Eukaryota; Viridiplantae; Streptophyta; Magnoliopsida; Brassicales; Brassicaceae. The record is from RNAcentral.
UUUAGAAAAUUUACUAUGCGCUAAAAUUUAUUGGAAUCAGAACACACGGCAUAAAAUAUAUAACCAAAUAUAUAGUCUUAGAAAUGGUACGAUGAUAGAUUUUGUGCA